GGAAUCUUGCACAAUGGAGGAAACUCUGAUGCAGCGAUGCCGCGUGAGUGAAGAAGGCCUUUGGGUUGUAAAGCUCUUUUGUAGGGGAAGAUAAUGACUGUACCCUAAGAGUAAGGUCCGGCUAACUUCGUGCCAGCAGCCGCGGUAAUACGAAGGGACCUAGCGUAGUUCGGAAUUACUGGGCGUAAAGCGCGCGUAGGCCGUUGAGUUAGUUAAUUGUGAAAUCCCAAAGCUUAACUUUGGAACUGCAAUUAAAACUGCUCGACUAGAGUUUGAUAGAGGAAAGCGGAAUACAUAGUGUAGAGGUGAAAUUCGUAGAUAUUAUGUAGAACACCAGUUGCGAAGGCGGCUUUCUGGAUCAACACUGACGCUGAGGCGCGAAAGUAUGGGUAGCAAAGAGGAUUAGAUACCCUCGUAGUCCAUACCAUAAACGAUGAUUGCUAGAUGUUGGAAAUUUAUUUUCAGUAUCGCAGCUAACGCAUUAAGCAAUCCGCCUGGGGAGUACGACCGCAAGGUUAAAACUCAAAUGAAUUGACGG
This 538-nucleotide ribosomal RNA is filed under the name uncultured bacterium. RNAcentral's name for it is "bacterial SSU rRNA". It matches the Rfam family "Bacterial small subunit ribosomal RNA", at positions 358 to 916 of the family's 1533-position model. The record is from RNAcentral.